Molecule: ribosomal RNA, 398 nt
Filed under: uncultured bacterium
Lineage: Bacteria
Description: partial 16S ribosomal RNA
Rfam family: Bacterial small subunit ribosomal RNA
Source: RNAcentral
AAUAUUGGACAAUGGGCGCAAGCCUGAUCCAGCCAUGCCGCGCGAGUGAUGAAGGCCUUAGGGUUGUAAAGCCCUUUCACCGAUGAAGAUAAUGACGGUAGUCGGUGAUGAAGCCCCGUCCAACUUCGUGCCGGCAGCCGCGGUAAUACGAAGGGGGCUAGCGUUGUUCGGAUUUACUGGGCGUAAAGCGCACGUAGGCGGAUUGGUAAGUUAGAGGUGAAAUCCCGAAGCUCAACUUCGGAACUGCCUUUAAUACUACCAGUGUCGAGUACGGAAGAGGUAAGUGGAACUCCUAGUGUAGAGGUGGAAUUCGUAGAUAUUAGGAAGAACACCAGUGGCGAAGGCGGCUUACUGGUCCGGAACUGACGCUGAGGUGCGAAAGCGUGGGGAGCAAACAG